UUUUUAAAUCAUCUUUA
Molecule: small RNA, 17 nt
Filed under: Arabidopsis thaliana (thale cress)
Lineage: Eukaryota; Viridiplantae; Streptophyta; Magnoliopsida; Brassicales; Brassicaceae
Description: ATSL228510
Source: RNAcentral